UAAUCUCAAUCAGACUCCAUGCUGACCGCAGAGCCCAACAUGGGGCUUGAUUCUCAGAUCACAACCUGAGCUGAAACCAAGAGUCAGACGCUCAACCAACUGAGCCACCCAGGCUUACGAUAGAGAGCUCUUUUUAAUAUCUAAACCAGUAAUCUCCAAAGUUUUUUUUUAUUUAUAUGCCUUUUAGUAAAGCAUAUCUGAGUAUAUAUAUAUCACCAAUAUAUGUGUACUAACUAUGGUAGUAUAAGAUAUAUACACAAACAAGACAUUUAAAAAGAACAAGGUAAAAAGAAAGUAGGAAUGGGAAGUCUAAUAUCAUCUUUUUUGUUUGCCAGCUGGUUGCCUUGCGUGCAUGCUCUGGGGACUGCUGUUCUGCACCAUGCAGAAGAAUCAGCUAUGCAGGGAGUUGCCUCACAUCUAGCCAGGCAGCAAUUUAGGAUCACACCUAUUGGGAUCAUCUCUACAUGUAAAAUGAUUAUUCAGUAUGAGUUAUCCAGGCCUCAUUCUUUUGUUCUGCGUCUCUGCUAGAUAUCUUGGGUUAUUUCAUUGUUCGUGGGCACUUGGUCAGAGAAUAACAAAGACUAUAAAAACCAUUCAAACUAUCAUUUUUGUCUUGCUGUGCAUAAUUAUAAUUGAGACAAUGUUAAAACAAAUGGCUACACUGAAGUACUGAAUUAUUUCUAUUUGUAAAUUAUCCAGGGAUCUCCAAGUGCAUUUGAUAGUCAAGAUUUACUGUUGACCAAUCUGUCCAAUACUACAACCUGCUUGCUAUAGAGUGCUACCUCUUGGCAAAUAAGCUGUUGCUACCUAAGGUAUUCAUCUGAUUUAAAGAAUAACAGAGGAAAAGGAAAAUGUUUAAAAUCAUUCAUAUGACCUAAUAUUGCAGAGAUGCCAAGUAUUAUUCUAAAGAGCUGAAAAGCUGCCAACUUCAAGAAUAAAUCUUGUACAACCUUGUGAGACACUUGAAUGGAAGACCAAAGAGUGUUCUGCCUUAUAUAAAUGGAAAGAGUAGAACACAAAUUACUAAGGAAAAGAUGGUUAAGAUUGUGUCAGAAAAGGUUAAAAAGGAAGAGGCUUACUGUCAGUGUGGGAUAGUCACAAAAUUCAAGAAGUUGAACAUCAAUAAAAAAGAUUCUUCAUCUGUAAAAUGUUGAUAAUAAUACCUACUUUAAAAGUGACUGUCACAAAGUGCAUGUGAAGUGAUUAACACAGUGCCUGGCACACAGUAAAAGCUCAAAAAAUGUCAAUUGUUUUUAUAAUCCAUGUAAAGGGGUGAGAGUUCAGCUGGGCCUUACAGAUGAAUACAUAACAAAGAUUAGGAAAAGAAAGAGGAGAUACUGCAGUCAAGAUUAAUAUCUGGAACCGUUACCUGAAGGGGGGGGUAAUACACAAAGCAGUUUGGAGUGGAACUUAAGAUCAGUCUAAUGCUGUGCUGUUCAACAUGGCAACUACUAGCCAUAUGUGGUUAUUUAACACUUGAAAUGUGGCUAAUCUGAAUGGAGAUGUACUGUUAGUGUAAUACAUACAUCAGAUACUGAAGACUUGAACUUGCACAUCAAGUUGUGGUAUAAACUCUCCAGAUGCCUGCAUGAGUAUAGAUAAUUUGGAGACAAGGAAGAGAAAGAGAAAGAAAGAAAAAUCCUAACAUCCGUUUCAGCUUCUCCUGUCACUUCCUGCUAAGUGGAUCUGGAGUUAAGAAAAAAGUUACUGGAAAAAAAAGAAGAAAAAAGAAAAAAGUAACUGGUCAAAGGAAGGACUGUCGGUAUUUGCCAAAGACUACACUGAAGGAAAAUUUCCUUUUCCCUGCUUCGUGUAUGAGCUAGAAGAAAAAUUUCAGAGAGCUAGUGUGCAAGUGGCAGUAGGACCAGAGGGGAAGAGAGAGGGAGAGAAUCUCAAGCUGACUCCAUGAAGAGCGUGGAGCCUGAUGCAAGGCCAGAUCUCACAUCCCAGAGAUUAUGAACUGAGCUGAAACCAACAGUUGGAGGCUUAGCCGACUGAGCCACCCAGGCACUCCUGUUUCUGAUUUUUAAUAAAUUAUUUCAUGGUCAGAGAACAUGAUUUUUAAUUCUUUUAAACUUUUUAAGUGUUGUCUUAAAUGGUCUUUGACAGUGAACGUUCCAGAAAGAUUUGAAAAGAGUGUUUUCUAUAGUUGUUAAGUAUAUGAUAAAUAUCAAUUAGACCGAUUUGACUGAUGGUGUUCCAAUCUUCUAUAUUUCAAAGUUUUGGUUUAAUUGUUCUAUAGAUUACUGAGAGAUUACAGACGUCUUCAACUUUGUAGAUUUUUCUAUUUCUCUUUUCAGUUUUAUUAACUUUGCUUCAUGUGUUUUGAA
Long non-coding RNA from Canis lupus familiaris (dog), 2330 nucleotides. RefSeq lists it as uncharacterized. The record is from RefSeq and is a predicted model, not a curated record. Lineage: Eukaryota; Metazoa; Chordata; Mammalia; Carnivora; Canidae. The transcript has 7 exons.